GUGACUGACACAGGCAGCACCCUUUUGCAGAAGUAGAUGUGCGUUGCUGAGAAAUUUUCUGCCUAAGUUCUGGUUUUCUUUGCAGCACCCAGCAUUUGUUUCUAACACAGGGAAAGAGUGAGCUGGAGAAACCUCUCAAAUUCAAGAAAGCGUAAAGCAAAUUGAACAAUACGGGUGAGGAGCACGGACUAUUCUCUCAUGUUGAAUGUGGCACUUUUUACAUACAAGCAGGAGAGCAACUACACCAAGAUUUUGGAAAACAUGUUAUGUAAGUUUUUAUUUUUA
RNAcentral lists this long non-coding RNA (285 nucleotides) under Homo sapiens (human). Its description in RNAcentral is "non-protein coding LINC01612:3". Lineage: Eukaryota; Metazoa; Chordata; Mammalia; Primates; Hominidae. The record is from RNAcentral.